RNAcentral lists this ribosomal RNA (403 nucleotides) under bacterium. RNAcentral's name for it is "partial 16S ribosomal RNA". It matches the Rfam family "Bacterial small subunit ribosomal RNA", at positions 355 to 776 of the family's 1533-position model. The record is from RNAcentral.
UGGGGAAUAUUGCACAAUGGGGGAAACCCUGAUGCAGCGACGCCGCGUGAACGAAGAAGGUAUUCGUAUCGUAAAGUUCUGUCCUAUGGGAAGAUAAUUACAGUACCAUAGAAGAAAGCUCCGGCUAAAUACGUGCCAGCAGCCGCGGUAAUACGUAUGGAGCGAGCGUUGUCCGGAAUUAUUGGGCGUAAAGGGUACGCAGGCGGUUUAAUAAGUCGAAUGUUAAAGAUCGGGGCUCAACCCCGUAAAGCAUUGGAAACUGAUAAACUUGAGUAGUGGAGAGGAAAGUGGAAUUCCUAGUGUAGUGGUGAAAUACAUAGAUAUUAGGAGGAAUACCAGUAGCGAAGGCGACUUUCUGGACACAAACUGACGCUGAGGUACGAAAGCGUGGGGAGCAAACAGG